UUAUUGGAGAGUUUGAUUCUGGCUCAGAACGAACGCUGGCGGCGUGGAUUAGGCAUGCAAGUCGAACGACCCUGCCCCUCGUGAGAGGGGCGGGGUAGUGGCAAAAGGGCGAGUAACACGUGGGUAACCUACCUCCGAAACCGGGAUAACUUUGCGAAAGCGAGGCUAAUACCGGAUAAGACCACGGUUCAUAAGGACUGUGGUAAAAGGAAGCCUCUAUUUAUAAGCUACCAUUUGGAGAGGGGCCUGCGUCCUAUCAGCUAGUUGGUGAGGUAACGGCCCACCAAGGCUAUUGACGGGUAGCUGGUCUAAGAGGAUGGUCAGCCGCACUGGGACUGAGACACUGCCCAGACUCCUACGGGAGGCUGCAGUCGAGAAUCUUUAGCAAUGCCCGAAAGGGUGACUAUGCGACGCCGCGUGAGCGAUGAAGGUCUUCGGAUUGUAAAGCUCUGUCAAGUGGGAUGAAUACCACACUCAUAACAUGGGUGUGGAAUGACAGUACCACUAGAGGAAGCCACGGCUAACUCCGUGCCAGCAGCCGCGGUAAUACGGAGGUGGCAAGCGUUGUUCGGAUUUAUUGGGUGUAAAGGGCAUGUAGGUGUCCUGGUAAGUCGGGUGUGAAAUCCUUCAGCUCAACUGAAGAAUUGCGCUCGAAACUGUCAGGAUUGAGUGCGUGAG
RNAcentral lists this ribosomal RNA (678 nucleotides) under Candidatus Omnitrophota bacterium. RNAcentral's name for it is "bacterial SSU rRNA". It matches the Rfam family "Bacterial small subunit ribosomal RNA", at positions 1 to 654 of the family's 1533-position model. Lineage: Bacteria; Pseudomonadati; Candidatus Omnitrophota. The record is from RNAcentral.